GACUAGAGAAGAAAAGACUCUGAGGUGACCUGAUAGCAGCUUUUCAGCAUCUAAAGGGAAGCUACAGGAAAGAAGGGACAGAGUCUUUUGCAGGAUGAAAGCAGUGCAUGAUCUUGAUUUUUCUUCCACGCACGUGAUGUUGUAUGCUCUCAGUUCUUCUGUGGAAACAGAUCCUCAGGCUUCUGGAGAUCCUGGUGUUUCGGCUCAUGUCAUUGUUGCUACAUUUCCCAUGGGGUCCAGCUCUGAAUUAUGGGUGCAAGAAAAUCUACUCCUCUGGAUGCCACUUCACUGAAUCCUUUCUUAUGGGGAAAGGAAAGGAGUCACUGUUUUUCUGAGCUUUGCUAUCAGUGACAGCCACUAAACACAGUAGCAUUAUUUUUUUUUCAACAUUGUUAGUGAAAAUACGCAUUUUCUGUUUUCUAGUAUGAACGAACUUCAUACUAUUCUAACUUCUCUGAUUCUCUGAAGCUCUGGGAAAAGCAUAUAUAAACAUAUUAUGUUUUAUGUUUAAAAAAAAAAAAAAAAAGACUCAAACACAGAAGGGGGCUUAUUAACUGUCCCUUACUUUCUUGGUUUGAUAAAAGAAGGAUGAAUAAACAGAUGGGGUGAAAUUCCCAAUUUCUCCAUUUUUCUAAUGGAGAAGUACUUUUUCCUUAAUAUCUUCAUGUUACUGUAGCAAUAUAAUCUUAAAAUAAUGUAUGUAUUGUGAAAUUUAAGGAAAAAAACACUUUUCCUGUUUUUUGCUUAUUACUAAUGAGAUCUUCAGAUUAAAAUAUUACUAACUUACUCUGAAAUCUAAAUUUCAGUUACCUCUCUCUUAAACAAAAAAAAAAUAUCUUAGUGGAAGUCUUGUACCAAUACAAAAUUCUAUGUUUCCUUAUAAACUGCACUCUGAAAUACAGUCUGUUAGAAAAAUAAGUAAUAGACUGGUAUUGGUAUUCACUGUAAGAAUCUAGCAGUUUCUUUAGAUUUCUUUUUUUUUCACUUGGCUGAUGGAAUAAAUUCACUUCUAAAUUUGAUGGAAUUAAUUCACUUUUGAGAAACUUUUUCUUUAUAAUAAAUGGUAGUAAUAUUUCCUCAUCAUAUUAAGCAUUUUUAGUGAUUUCUAAAGUUAAAUAUUACAUGUGUGGGCUUUAGGUCCCACUCAAAUUGCAUUAAAUAUGCAGUACACCUUGUGGUAUUUGGCAGCUUAAAUGACCAGUGAUGUUCUAACUAGGCUAUGAGAACAGAAAGCUGGAGGUGUAACUCACCCCAAACUUUGUCAAGACUUUGUAUAUUACACCAGUGAAAAUUUCCUUCAAAAAUAGUAAUGAAAUUCCAACUGAAAUUUUUGUUUUUAACAUAAUGAACAGCUUAAAGAACUAAUAAUUAUUCUCUUCAGGAAAAAAUACUUUUAUUGCUAUUGAGAGGAAAAAAUCAAAAUAAUGUAUAAUUAUAUAUUACUAUAUAUAUAUGUAUAUAUUUUUCCUCCAGAAAAUAUGCAUUUUGAAUUACAUAGGGUUCCAAGGAAAUUGUAAUUCAUUUGUCUGUCUAUACUUGUUUUCUCUUGGGCUAGCUUCUCAAACUGGAUGAUGUUUCCUGUAAUGUAUCAUUCUGAUGAUUCACCAUAAUCUUCUUUCUUGGAGAAAAUAUGAGUGCACCCUUUGGGAAACAGAAUGAACUCAUAGAAUGUGGUCUGAAGAGACAUGUGAGAGCAAAGCUAAUCGAACUGCAAUCCUCAUAAGACAGAGCAGGAUUAUUAUUAUUUUUUAAAUUGCAAUAAUUUGUAUGUAAUAUUCAGAAAGAAAAAACAAAACAACAGGGCUUUCUGAGGAAAAGAAAUAGGCAAUAACAUAAUUUAUUUUUAAUAAUAAAUUGUCUGCUGACAGUUGGUUUUUUGUGGUUUUUUUUUUUUUU
Tympanuchus pallidicinctus (lesser prairie-chicken) is the source of this 1896-nucleotide long non-coding RNA. RefSeq lists it as uncharacterized. The record is from RefSeq and is a predicted model, not a curated record. The transcript is spliced from 3 exons. Lineage: Eukaryota; Metazoa; Chordata; Aves; Galliformes; Phasianidae.